UACGUAGGGCGCAAGCGUUGUCCGGAAUUAUUGGGCGUAAAGAGCUCGUAGGCGGUUUGUCGCGUCUGCUGUGAAAACCUAAGGCUCAACCUUGGGCUUGCAGUGGGUACGGGCAGACUAGAGUGCGGUAGGGGUGACUGGAAUUCCUGGUGUAGCGGUGGAAUGCGCAGAUAUCAGGGAGGAACACCGAUGGCGAAGGCAGGUCACUGGGCCGCAACUGGACG
RNAcentral lists this ribosomal RNA (224 nucleotides) under uncultured bacterium. RNAcentral describes it as "partial 16S ribosomal RNA". It matches the Rfam family "Bacterial small subunit ribosomal RNA", at positions 524 to 745 of the family's 1533-position model. The record is from RNAcentral.